This 253-nucleotide ribosomal RNA is filed under the name uncultured bacterium. Its description in RNAcentral is "partial 16S ribosomal RNA". It matches the Rfam family "Bacterial small subunit ribosomal RNA", at positions 524 to 776 of the family's 1533-position model. The record is from RNAcentral.
UACGUAGGGGGCAAGCGUUGUCCGGAAUCAUUGGGCGUAAAGCGCGUGUAGGCGGUUCGAUAAGUCUGCUGUGAAAGUCCAGGGCUCAACCCUGGGAUGCCGGUGGAUACUGUCGGACUAGAGUACGGAAGAGGCGAGUGGAAUUCCCGGUGUAGCGGCGAAAUGCGCAGAUAUCGGGAGGAACACCAAUUGCGAAGGCAGCUCGCUGGGACGUCACUGACGCUGAGACGCGAAAGCGUGGGGAGCAAACAGG